Molecule: ribosomal RNA, 564 nt
Filed under: uncultured archaeon
Lineage: Archaea
Description: bacterial SSU rRNA
Rfam family: Archaeal small subunit ribosomal RNA
Source: RNAcentral
GAUUCGCCCUUCGGGGUGCAGCAGGCGCGAAAACUUUACAAUGCUGGCAACAGCGAUAAGGGGACCUCGAGUGCCAGGAUACAAUCUUGGCUGUCGCGAUGCCUAAAAAGCAUUGCAUAGCAAGGGCCGGGCAAGACCGGUGCCAGCCGCCGCGGUAACACCGGCGGCUCGAGUGGUAACCGCUAUUAUUGGGUCUAAAGGGUCUGUAGCCGGCCGGAUAAGUCUUUUGGGAAAUCCAGCUGCUCAACAGUUGGGCUUUCAGAAGAUACUGUUCGGCUCGAGACCGGGAGAGGUGAGAGGUACUUCAGGGGUAGGGGUGAAAUCUUGUAAUCCUUGAAGGACCACCAGUGGCGAAGGCGUCUCACCAGAACGGAUCUGACGGCAAGGGACGAAAGCUAGGGGCACGAACCGGAUUAGAUACCCGGGUAGUCCUAGCCGUAAACGAUACUCGCUAGGUGUCAGCCACGGUGCGACCGUGGUUGGUGCCGUAGGGAAGCCGUGAAGCGAGCCACCUGGGAAGUACGGCCGCAAGGCUGAAACUUAAAGGAAUUGGCGGGGGAGCAC